UUAAGCUACAAAGGGCUUACGGUGGAUGCCCUGGCA
This 36-nucleotide ribosomal RNA is filed under the name Bdellovibrio sp. FJZZ1. RNAcentral's name for it is "partial 23S ribosomal RNA". RNAcentral also lists the same sequence under 1 other name. Lineage: Bacteria; Pseudomonadati; Bdellovibrionota; Bdellovibrionia; Bdellovibrionales; Pseudobdellovibrionaceae. The record is from RNAcentral.